GCCCUACAACCUGCCCGUUACCUGUGUCCCCGCCAGCGCGUCGGCGCUCCGCAGCUCCCGGAUGCAGCUCUGCAGCAGCUCCGAUGCCCGCCUGAGGCCGGCCGUGAAGGGAUGCAGUUUCUGCAGGAGACAAUGCAGGGACACGAGGAGGGGACAGAGACAGGCUCACCUGCACCCCAGGCAGCUUCUCGCGGUGGGCAGCCAGCUCCUUCUCGGCCAGCAGCAGCACGGUGUGGAUGCAGCCCGGCGAGACACUCUGCGGGAGGCAGGGAAGAGUCACCCCAGCAAACCCCACGGCGCAGCCCCCCCGGUUUCCCACAGUCACGCCGGGGCCCAGUUGCCUGAGUCAGCCGAAGCCAGUGAGCUCAUUACAAAGGAAGAGGCUCCUGAGCUCCCGGAUAUGGGAAAUAGAAAUGGGUCGCUCAAGCCAUAACCCCGUCCCCAUCCACCAGCAUUCCGGCAGAACGGACCCAAGGACAAAGCCUCGUGAGCAAACCCUCCGCUCGCACCAGCCAUGCUUCUCCACACAGGAAGCACUGGGAUUGGCACAGGGUUUAUGGGACAGGCUGCAGCCAAGCCCUGAGCAGGCAGAGGUACAGGGCACUGAGGCAGGGAGAACCUCACGGCCCCCGGGACAGCGCGGGGCACACCUGCAGCAUUGCCUUGGCACAAGCAUGGAAACCCUGCCAGGAUGAAUCGACCAUUGCUGUGGAGCCAACUUCCAGCUUUGCAGGAGAUGUCAGCUGUGCAGACCCGGCUGGUGCAGUGGGUACAUGGAGGGAAGCCAUCAGACGGCUCCCAUUAAAUCCCAGCUGCGUUACAGGCAGUGCGGAGGUGACUACAGACAUGGCUGCCAAAAGGAGCCCAUUGGCGAGCGGGAAAGACAGAGACUUCUCCAACUCCUUGGCAGAGAUCUCCUGCCCUGGCAGGAGAAGCCACGGGGCCUGGGCAGAGCAGGAGGACAGCAAGGCCAUUCUCAGGGACCUGAUUCCGCUGCCAGCCUUUCUGCUGUUGGACACCUGUCUUCUCACACUUGGUCCUGCUUUGCACACCAGGGCAUCGGCUCUCCCUAGGAGGGACGGGAGACCUUGUUCUGGAAAAGCCCUGCUGCAGGGUAAAGCCCAGCUCCCAGGCACCGAGUCCGGCCGGGUGUCCGCCACCUUCACGCUGGGCACCACCGAACUCGGCUCCUUCCCUGUCCCCACACAGAGGCGAGGAGCCGCUGCCUGCAACAGCAAAGGGGGAUCUGUGCAGCUCCCGGUGCUGCCAGGAGAGAUGGACCAGCCCUGCCUGUCCUGCCUCUGCCAGAGCCAGCUGCCCAGAGUCACCCCUGCACAGCCCUGGCACGUGCAACCAGCUCCCUUGAAACCGAACGGAACUCUUCCCAGCUGAGCUCAUGGCGCAUCGAUAAAAAAGCAAAUGAAAACAGAAAGAGAAGCCAGGUCCCCCGAGACUGGGGCCGCUGGGGGUCAGCUCCGGGCAGGCUGUGGCCACGGGGUGAUGGGCAGCCCCAAAUCCGGCCAUCCUCCAGCUUGGCCGUGCCACCGCGGCAGAGAGGUGCAGACCACGGUCCGACGAGGCCAAGGCGCACGCUUCCAGAAGCCCCAUCCCACACGCACCAUCUCUCGCAACACCAUCCCCCCAGACCCCGGAGCAGCCGCCCCUGGCACACGCAGCCAGGCAUCGCCCAGUCCCGCACCCUGGCGGCUGGGGAGAAAUGCCUGGAAUUUGGGUAAACCGUCUGGGACAAACUUGGGGUGUCUGGGGGAGGGGACAGCCCUGUUGCAGGGGGGGGAAAAAAGAAAUGUCUUCCAAACCACCAUCAAAACCCGACAGCAAAGGGAUGCCCCAGAGGAUGAAUGGACUGAAUAAACAAAGCCGCUCCCCUGUCAAAGGAAUAAAAACGCCAGGACUUUAUCCAGCAGCAGGGACAGCGUGAGCCAGCGUCAGGAGAGAACUGACUGAUGGAGGCACCAGACACAGCCUGGGUUGUGCUGGGGAGUAUUUUGGCCUGGAAUGACUAAACAUGUUUUCAUUGAGUGUCACAAAGCACUUCAUCACCGGGGGAGGUUUUGGGGUAACCACGGCGCAGUGGUGCUGCGUUAGUGGGAGAAGCUGAGGCCAGGCCGGCCGGGGAGCCAUUAGAAAUCCAAAAGCAACCAAUUAGCCCCCGUCCCCCCGCCAGCUGCGAGGGAGCGCAGAACCGAAACAAAAGGCAUUAGAGAGCAUAAGGAGAUUUACAUUUGCAAAGCUAUUUCCAUUUUAAUAAGGCAAAGUGCUGUUAAAUAGAGAUUGAUAUUUCUCCCCAAAUACCCAUAUUUUUUAAAGUGGUUUACACCAACAAGAUGAGCUGGGCUUUGGUGUUUUGGUGCUGUAAAGUUGUUUAACUCGUACCCAAAGCCACAGGGUGACUCAGCUCCAUCUCCUUUCUCCCCGCUGCUCAGGAAGGAGCGAGUUUUGAGCGCCAGGACCAGCCCUGAAUAACAAUUCCUCUCCCUGUCUCGCUGUCAGCAACUUUGGCAGGGCACGAUGCAAACGCUAACGAAGAGCCCCAGCCCGGCGGGGUGGGAGGCCAGUGCUCAGCGCAGCAUCGCCCAGGAACCCGGGGCAACGGCGCAUGACGGCUGCAGUGACAACCGAGAUGGCCAGCCCAGGGACGAUGCGCCGAGCAUCCCGUACCCGCGUGCCAGGCACGGUUCACGCAGCAGCACCCACUUGCUGCACCCCAGCUCCCUGCCAAACUUGGCAGGGAAGUUUUAAGCAUCGCGGGCUGCAGCCCCACACGCGUCUGCCCGAGCGGCCGACGGCCACCUCCGCCUUCGCACCCGACCUCCGCCAUCGCUCCCGACGCCCACCCCAUGCUCGGGAGGGCUGGGGGCCACAGGUGGUCGCGGGGGCCGGCAGCGAGCAGGGAAGGUCAGCGGAAAGGAUAGG
Molecule: RNA transcript, 2934 nt
Organism: Chroicocephalus ridibundus (black-headed gull)
Lineage: Eukaryota; Metazoa; Chordata; Aves; Charadriiformes; Laridae
Exons: 4
Source: RefSeq, a predicted model, not a curated record